RNAcentral lists this ribosomal RNA (1350 nucleotides) under uncultured marine eukaryote. RNAcentral describes it as "SSU rRNA". It matches the Rfam family "Eukaryotic small subunit ribosomal RNA", at positions 411 to 1773 of the family's 1831-position model. The record is from RNAcentral.
CACAUCUAAGGAAGGCAGCAGGCGCGUAAAUUACCCAAUUCUGAUAAAGAGAAGUAGUAACAAGAACUGACAAUAUUUUGCCUUAGGGUUAAAUAAUUGUAUUGAGAGCUGAGUAUACACACUAUCGAUAAACUAUUGGAGGGCAAGUCUGGUGCCAGCAGCCGCGGUAAUUCCAGCUCCAAUAGCGUAUACUAAAGUUGUUGCAGUUAAAAAGCUCGUAGUUGGAUUUCUGUGGGGACGGAGCGGCCGGCCGCACAUCGCGGUUCGAGCUAGCGCCUUCCCUACAUCCUGCCGCGAACCGUGCUACCAUUAAUUUGGUGGCGCCGGGGAUCGGCUCGAUUACUUUGAGAAAAAUAGAGUGUUCAAAGCAGGCCACAUGCCUUGAAUAAGUUAGCAUGGAAUAAUAACUAAGGACUUCGGUUCUAUUUUGUUGGUGUUCGGGACUGAAGUAAUGAUUGAUAGGGACAGUUGGGGCGGUCUGUAUUCCAAAGCGAGAGGUGAAAUUCUUAGACCUUCGGAAGACAAACAGCUGCGAAAGCGUUCCGCAAGGAUGUUCCCUUUGAUCAAGAACGAAAGUUGGGGGAUCGAAGACGAUCAGAUACCGUCGUAGUCUCAACUAUAAACUAUACCAGCUAGGGAUCGGCCAACGUUAUUUUAUACCGACUUGGUCGGCACCUUAUGAGAAAUCAAAGCAUCUGGGUUUCGGGGGGAGUAUGGUCGCAAGGCUGAAACUUAAAGGAAUUGACGGAAGGGCACCACCAGCCGUGGAGCCUGUGGCUUAAUUUGACUCAACACGGGAAAACUUACCAGGUCCAGACAUAGUAAGGAUUGACAGAUUGAUAGCUCUUUCUUGAUUCUGUGGGUGGUGGUGCAUGGCCGUUCUUAGUUGGUGGAGUGAUUUGUCUGGUUAAUUCCGUUAACGAACGAGACCCCAGCCUGCUAAAUAGCGCGUGUGAGCUUUGCUCGCGGCGAGCUUCUUAGAGGGACUAUGAUGCGCGAUAGCACAUGGAAGUUUGGGGCAAUAACAGGUCUGUGAUGCCCUUAGAUGUUCUGGGCCGCACACGGGCUACACUGGCGCCUGCAACGAGCAUAUCAGCUGGCCCGAGAGGGUCUUGGCUAAUCUUUUGAACCGGCGCCGUGCUUGGGAUUGACCUUUGCAAUUGUUGGUCAUGCAACGAGGAAUGCCUUGUAAACGCGAGUCAUCAGCUCGCAUUGAAUACGUCCCUGCCCUUUGUACACACCGCCCGUCGCUCCUACCGAUGAAUGUUCCGAUGAAAUUUUCGGAGAGCACCUGUGAACUUGGCUCUGCCUUGCGAACGGGAGGCUCAAAGUCACUUAAAUCUGAACAUU